Molecule: RNA transcript, 3663 nt
Organism: Crotalus tigris (Tiger rattlesnake)
Lineage: Eukaryota; Metazoa; Chordata; Lepidosauria; Squamata; Viperidae
Gene name: synaptotagmin-6-like
Exons: 6
Source: RefSeq, a predicted model, not a curated record
AAAGUGUGGACCUGGGAGAGAUCAUGUUUUCGCUUUGUUACCUGCCAACUGCAGGUCGCCUCACUCUAACAGUCAUUAAAUGCAGGAAUCUCAAAGCAAUGGACAUAACUGGAUACUCAGAUCCGUACGUCAAAGUAUCCUUGCUCUGUGAUGGAAGGAGAUUAAAAAAGAAGAAAACCACUAUAAAAAGAAAUACACUUAAUCCUACCUAUAAUGAGGCAAUAAUUUUUGAUAUCCCUCCUGAGAACAUGGAUCAAGUCAGUCUGCUUAUAUCAGUUAUGGAUUAUGACCGGGUUGGCCACAAUGAGAUUAUUGGGGUUUGUCGUGUAGCAAACAAUGCUGAAGGACUAGGCCGAGACCACUGGAAUGAAAUGUUGGCUUAUCCACGUAAACCAAUUGCACAUUGGCAUCCACUCGUAGAAGUGAAGAAAUCCUUCAAGGAGUGGCAUGGCCGUGCAGCCAGCUUUGAUAGUCAAGGUUCCUGCCCCUCUCCCAAACCAUCUUCAACACCAUGAUCCAACAAGUGGUGAAUAUUGGGCCUCGACCAAAUUCUUUUUCUUUUGCUCUGAUAUUUUCUUUAUGGGUUCUGAAUUCUGAUUCAACCUAUUGCUGAAUAACAGAAGACUGGCAAUCAGACAUUCCUUGUUUCUACAGUGAAAAAGGCACCAAAUCCUUUUAUAGUGGUGUUUGUCUUUUUAUUUCUAUCUCUCAAGGUGACGUACUUUGUGCUUUUCAUUUUUUGGAUAUGGCUGCUAAGAAGAAAAGAAAAGAAAAGAAAAGAAAAGAAAAAAAAAGAAAAGAAAAGGCAUAGGCUGGAACUCUGGCCUAUAAAAUAACAUGUAAAAUAUUAUUUGUGUGUAUGUAAAGGGACAAAUUAUUAAUUGAGAGCUGUUGUACUUCUGCACAUCAGCAUGCAGAUUUAAAAGAGACAGCAAAAUGAAAAAUGAGAAGGCCUUGAUGAGGCUCCUUGUGACAUGUGAACACCCUUUUGUUAUUGUGAUCAGUGAGACAUUACAGCUUUUCUUAUUCAUGCUGUGAUGUUCAUGGAAUCUGUGAAAUACAGCCCAGCCUGUCCUUCCAUGUAUUUUAAAAAAAUGCUAAUUCCUCAGGGAGAAAUUAUCCAUUUUUUGUAGUUGUGUUCUUGAAAGAGCCUUUUGCAUGAAUUCAGCUGCUUCAGGUCCUGUGAAGUCCUGCACUGAUUACAGAAAUGAACUUUGUCUCAGGAGACAACUAAAAGAACAUCUUUCAGUUCCUUACGGAGGUUCUCAGAGUGACAGGAAUUGGCUAUUUGAUCUUGGCUCAGAAACUAGGUGAGCCUGGGCCUUACUAGCAUUUGGUUGAGAGACUACCAUGGGAUACCAGGGCUGUACAUAUCUGAGUGAAACAACAUUGAACCAUUUGUAUAGUGUUGAACUACGUGGACACAAUUAUCAAGUCACAAGGAGCUGAAGCAAGUUUUAUUUUCACAAUAGUAAUGGAAGUAUAUGCUAAAGGCCCACCCCAUCCCAAAUCUUCAAGACUUAAAUUAAGCAAGCACCAACAUGAACUCAUGAAAUGAACAUUUUUUUUAAAAAUGGAGAGAAAAAUACUCCAAAGCUCUGUAAAACAAUACUUUCAAUGUCAUUUUGCUGUUAUUGUUACUAUUUAUAAAGAACUGGUGUCUUCAAAAAGUAAAUUUGUUUAAAAAUGAACAAAGUUCUAGGAUAUGCAAUAUAAUACAAGAUCUCUCAAAUAACUUUGAUUAAAUCACUACCCCUGGUAAUGAAUGAAAUUCAACAAUAUCAUAGAAAGAAGCUUUUAUUUCUCUGUUUACAAGGAAGAAAACAAUCCAAUCUAUCAAAGUGAUAGAGCUUAUUUUCUUAUUGAAUGUAUAUUACAAACUUUUAUACCAAACUUGCAAAGAGAACAAAUGAUUUUCUAGCUGAAUUAAUACAUCCUUAGAUUGGAUUUGUCCCAAAGAGUUGCAUGAGAGACAAUAUCAUAUACCUUGUGAAUGUUGUGAUAAUAUAAAUUAGAACAAGAGAAAUGGACCUUUGUUAAUGCAGAAAAAGUUUUUGAUUAUUUCAAGUGGGCUUCCAUACUUGAAGCUUUGAAGAAGAUAUUUUUUACAUAAAUACAGAGUAUUUAUAAAGAAUAAGGUCUUAAUGUUAAUGGUUUUUUUAAUCACAAAAAACUACCCUAAUGAAAGGAACAAAAGACACUUGUUGCCUGCCUCCUUCAUUAUUCAUAAUGGCAUAGCAAAGAAGAUAUACCAAGAAUUUUCAGGAAUUAAAUGCUGCUCAAUAACAUAAACUAAAAUUAAAUGCUCUUGAUGGGGUACUUAACUAAACUAAAGGACACUUUAGAAUUGAUGAUGGAAUAUAUAUAACAGCAUAAUUUGAUUCCAUGUUUUUGGAUCAAUAAAAUUCAAAUGCUGAUACAGCUUUUGAAAAACAUCAUUUGUUCCAAAUAAUUAGUUUUAAUUUCACUUCAAAAAAUGAUAAAAUCUGGCAAUUUACAUGACAAAUAUAAGUAUAUUUAAAAGUAAUGUAUAUACUUGUAAAUAAGCCCAUCUGCAGAUAACUCUCAAAUUUUUAAUCAAUAUGCCAUGCAAAAUGCAACACCCACAGAUUAACUGACCAUCAAUGUUUGUAUGUUUGCAUUUUUGCAAUUGGCUUUUCCAUGGGUGAAACAUAUUUUCAUGGUAUUUUCAUUACAAAUUUGAGGGUUGGCUUAUACAUGACUGAGUACUUAAAACAAAUAUUACAGUAUUUGUAAUACUGUACAGUAUUGCAGCAGAUAACUCAAACCUAAUUUGUGGGGUGUGUUUUGCACCUAAAAUUCUUGAUUUAUCUUUGGGUAAAUACAGUAAUUAUUCGCACAUCUAUAAAAAUAUAAUGGCACAUUUUUUUUAAAGACCAAGUUUUGAGAUUACUAUCUUUCUUAGGAAGAAUUGUAGCUGUUGACAUGAAUAUUCUAUUCAAUCUAAAUGUUCAAUUGCAAAUGACUUUAACAAAAAUUGAAAACAAGUUAUUAAACAUAACAUAGACAAAUAAAGAGAGCCAGUUUGGCGCAGUGGUUAAAGCACCUGGCUAGAAAACAAGAAACCUUAAAUUUUAGUCCUCCCUUGGUUACAAAACUAGCUGAGCAACUUUGGGUCAGUCUCUCUCUCUUAGCCCUAGGAAGGAAACCACUUCCAAAAUACAGCACCAAGAAAAAUCUAGGGACAAUCUAUAAAUUAUUAGUGACUCUGAAUAAGUUAAAAGUUAUAUAAUUAAAUGGAUUUACAAUUUAAAUACAAUGACUGAUAUGCAACAAUGAGAAUUUUAGUCAGAGAAAAAUGUGACAUUCACACCCAAUAUUAUGCUUAAAGAAAACUGGUAUAAGAUGUCUUAUCGCUGGUAUGUUGACUGCUCAAAUGAUUAAUUCAUUCUCUAAACAUGGUUGAAAUGUAAUGCUUAGAUUGUGACAUUUUUCCAUAUUUGAUGGUAAUGUUGUAAAGUUUUACAAUGUUGGAAAAUGAUUUAUAAAGAAUGAAACCAUUUAAAAAGCCGAGCUUCCUUCCAACUGAUUUCUGAUUGAAUGCUUUAUUACUAAACCUUGCCUUCCCACAAAGUAUAUUGAGUACGCCUAUUUAUGAUAACUGCUGCAAGGAUACUCUACCCUUCCAACUGGAAAGUGUUC